GAUGAACGCUGGCGGCGCGCCUAACACAUGCAAGUCGAACGAUUAAAGCACCUUCGGGUGGGUAUAAAGUGGCGAACGGCUGAGUAACACGUGGGCAACCUUCCCCUUUCAUUGGGGUAGCCACGGGAAACCGUGGAUAAUACCGAAUACUUCGAGACUUCCGCAUGGAAGACUCGAGAAAGCGCCGGCGGAGAGGGAUGGGCCCGCGGCCUGUUAGCUUGUUGGUGGGGUAACGGCCUACCAAGCCAAUGAUGGGUAGCUGGGUUGAGAGACCGACCAGCCAGAUUGGGACUGAGACACGGCCCAGACUCCUACGGGAGGCAGCAGUGGGGAAUCUUGCACAAUGGGCGAAAGCCUGAUGCAGCGACGCCGCGUGCGGGAUGACGGCCUUCGGGUUGUAAACCGAUUUCAGCAGGGACGAGGCGCAAGUGACGGUACCUGCAGAAGAAGCCCCGGCUAACUACGUG
Molecule: ribosomal RNA, 467 nt
Filed under: uncultured bacterium
Lineage: Bacteria
Description: partial 16S ribosomal RNA
Rfam family: Bacterial small subunit ribosomal RNA
Source: RNAcentral